GGGCUCGCAGGCGGUUUCUUAAGUCUGAUGUGAAAGCCCCCGGCUCAACCGGGGAGGGUCAUUGGAAACUGGGAAACUUGAGUGCAGAAGAGGAGAGUGGAAUUCCACGUGUAGCGGUGAAAUGCGUAGAGAUGUGGAGGAACACCAGUGGCGAAGGCGACUCUCUGGUCUGUAACUGACGCUGAGGAGCGAAAGCGUGGGGAGCGAACAGGAUUAGAUACCCUGGUAGUCCACGCCGUAAACGAUGAGUGCUAAGUGUUAGGGGGUUUCCGCCCCUUAGUGCUGCAGCUAACGCAUUAAGCACUCCGCCUGGGGAGUACGGUCGCAAGACUGAAACUCAAAGGAAUUGACGGGGGCCCGCACAAGCGGUGGAGCAUGUGGUUUAAUUCGAAGCAACGCGAAGAACCUUACCAGGUCUUGACAUCCUCUGACAACCCUAGAGAUAGGGCUUUCCCUUCGGGGACAGAGUGACAGGUGGUGCAUGGUUGUCGUCAGCUCGUGUCGUGAGAUGUUGGGUUAAGUCCCGCAACGAGCGCAACCCUUGAUCUUAGUUGCCAGCAUUCAGUUGGGCACUCUAAGGUGACUGCCGGUGACAAACCGGAGGAAGGUGGGGAUGACGUCAAAUCAUCAUGCCCCUUAUGACCUGGGCUACACACGUGCUACAAUGGACAGAACAAAGGGCUGCAAGACCGCAAGGUUUAGCCAAUCCCAUAAAUCUGUUCUCAGUUCGGAUCGCAGUCUGCAACUCGACUGCGUGAAGCUGGAAUCGCUAGUAAUCGCGGAU
This 784-nucleotide ribosomal RNA is filed under the name Bacillus pumilus. Its description in RNAcentral is "bacterial SSU rRNA". It matches the Rfam family "Bacterial small subunit ribosomal RNA", at positions 565 to 1349 of the family's 1533-position model. The record is from RNAcentral. Lineage: Bacteria; Bacillati; Bacillota; Bacilli; Caryophanales; Bacillaceae.